AGGUUGGGGAAGCAUCAGGAUGGAGUGGCUGAUCCUUGGGGCUGGCCGGCACCUGGUCCAUCCAUCAUGUGGGGUGAGCUGUCAGCAGGUACCAGUGCAAAGCGGUGUCUUGGCAUACCAAGCCUGGAGAACCAGAAAGCACAGGGCACAAAUGGAUUACGACUCGGAGCUGGGAAUGAUAGGAGGUUUUUUUCCUGCGCUGCAACACUGAACUAUUAGCCUCUCCCUGAGGGAAGAUAUUGGUUUAGAUAGGAAGCACGAGGAAAACAAGAGUGAUUUGCCAAAUAUCACAAAUGCUGCCUAUGCUGAGUGAGCCAAAUGGCUCAAAGUGGAAAUUGGACAGCAUUCAGCAGAGCUGGGAGAAAUAUCCACUAUCAUUAGGGUAGCAGUGGAAGGUGGUUUGCACCAGGCUGCUAGGGACUGCAUGCUAUUUAUUUGCAAGGUGCUAUGGGGAUGCAGAGCCAAGGGAUGUGCAAAGAGCAGAACGGAAAGGAAACCUCUUGGUGGGAGACCUCUGUGGUCUGCAAGCAUGCCCAUGGAAUCAUUGAACCAUGUUAAGCUUGGAAAAGCUUAACGUUUCAGAUCAUCUGUAGCUCAGUCCCAGCCCACCAUGCCCGCUGACCACCUCUUGCAGCAUGACCCAUGUGUAUUUGAGGUGCGUGCAGCACACCAGUGUUUGCCUUAAAUAUUUUAUGGCCCUGGGAGUGGAAACUCA
Long non-coding RNA from Lagopus muta (rock ptarmigan), 715 nucleotides. RefSeq lists it as uncharacterized. The record is from RefSeq and is a predicted model, not a curated record. NCBI's taxonomy places the organism in Eukaryota, Metazoa, Chordata, Aves, Galliformes, Phasianidae. The transcript has 3 exons.